AGCUCCAAUAGCGUAUACUAAAGUUGUUGCAGUUAAAAAGCUCGUAGUUGGAUUUCUGUGUUGGGCAACUCGGUGCGUGACCUCAUCGGUCUAGCGCUGGAGUGACCUGGCACAUCCUGCCUUCAACCCCGCUGGCCUUAAUUGGUUGGCGGUGGAGAGGGGCUCGUUUACUUUGAGUAAAACAGAGUGUUCAAAGCAGGCUUAAAGCCUUGAAUGACUUAGCAUGGAAUAAUAACAAAGGACCUUGGUUCUUUUUGUUGGUAUUCGGCACUGAGGUAAUGAUUGAUAGGGACAGUUGGGGGCGUCAGUAUUCCAGGGUCAGAGGUGAAAUUCAUAGAUUCUUGGAAGACUAGCAGAUGCGAAAGCGUUCGCCACGGAUGUACUCUUUGAUCAAGAACGA
This 400-nucleotide ribosomal RNA is filed under the name phytoplankton environmental sample. RNAcentral's name for it is "partial small subunit ribosomal RNA". It matches the Rfam family "Eukaryotic small subunit ribosomal RNA", at positions 587 to 986 of the family's 1831-position model. The record is from RNAcentral.